Molecule: ribosomal RNA, 399 nt
Filed under: Triticum aestivum (bread wheat)
Lineage: Eukaryota; Viridiplantae; Streptophyta; Magnoliopsida; Poales; Poaceae
Description: partial small subunit ribosomal RNA
Source: RNAcentral
AUGCAGGCAGGAGUCGGUCUACUUGUCUCGGACAUGAUGCCUAUAUACAUGAUCAUACCUAGAUAUUCUCAUAACUAUGCUCAAUUCUGUCAAUUGCUCAACAGUAAUUUGUUCACCCACCAUAGAAUACUUAUGCUCUCGAGAGAAGCCACUAGUGAAACCUAUGGCCCCCGGGUCUAUCUUUAUCAUAUUGAUCUCCUACUACUUAGUUAUUUCCUUUGCUAUUUACUUUGCCUUUAUUUUACUUUGCAUCUUUAUCAUAAAAAUAGUAAAAAUAUUAUCAUAUCAUAUCUUGCAGAUCUCACUCUCGUAAGUGGCCUUAUAGGGACUGACAACCCCUAUUUGCGUUGGUUGCGAGGAUUUAUUUGUUUUGUGCAGGUACGAGGGACUCGCGCGUAG